UCCUAUGUAGUGCACAUUAACUCUUAAUAAA
This 31-nucleotide non-coding RNA is filed under the name Mus musculus (house mouse). The record is from RNAcentral. Lineage: Eukaryota; Metazoa; Chordata; Mammalia; Rodentia; Muridae.